RNAcentral lists this ribosomal RNA (246 nucleotides) under uncultured bacterium. Its description in RNAcentral is "partial 16S ribosomal RNA". It matches the Rfam family "Bacterial small subunit ribosomal RNA", at positions 523 to 769 of the family's 1533-position model. The record is from RNAcentral.
AUACGUAGGGGGCUAGCGUUAUCCGGAUUUACUGGGCGUAAAGGGUGCGUAGGUGGUUUCUUAGGUCAGGAGUGAAAGGCUACGGCUCAACCGUAGUAAGCUCUUGAAACUGGGAAACUUGAGUGCAGGAGAGGAAAGUGGAAUUCCUAGUGUAGCGGUGAAAUGCGUAGAUAUUAGGAGGAACACCAGUAGCGAAGGCGGCUUUCUGGACUGUAACUGACGCUGAGGCACGAAAGCGUGGGGAGC